This 275-nucleotide ribosomal RNA is filed under the name uncultured Ohtaekwangia sp. RNAcentral describes it as "partial 16S ribosomal RNA". It matches the Rfam family "Bacterial small subunit ribosomal RNA", at positions 338 to 611 of the family's 1533-position model. The record is from RNAcentral. Lineage: Bacteria; Pseudomonadati; Bacteroidota; Cytophagia; Cytophagales; Fulvivirgaceae.
CCUACGGGUGGCUGCAGUAGGGAAUAUUGGACAAUGGGUGAGAGCCUGAUCCAGCCAUGCCGCGUGCAGGAAGAAGGCGUUAUGCGUUGUAAACUGCUUUUGCCAGGGGAUAAAACGACUCUGCGGAGUUAAUUGAAGGUACCUGGUGAAUAAGCCACGGCUAACUACGUGCCAGCAGCCGCGGUAAUACGUAGGUGGCAAGCGUUGUCCGGAUUUAUUGGGUUUAAAGGGUGCGUAGGCGGCCCUGUAAGUCAGUGCUGAAAUAUCCCGGCUUA